GUCGAACGAUGAAGCCCUUCGGGGUGGAUUAGUGGCGAACGGGUGAGUAACACGUGGGCAAUCUGCCCUUCACUCUGGGACAAGCCCUGGAAACGGGGUCUAAUACCGGAUAACACUCUGUCCCGCAUGGGACGGGGUUGAAAGCUCCGGCGGUGAAGGAUGAGCCCGCGGCCUAUCAGCUUGUUGGUGGGGUAAUGGCCUACCAAGGCGACGACGGGUAGCCGGCCUGAGAGGGCGACCGGCCACACUGGGACUGAGACACGGCCCAGACUCCUACGGGAGGCAGCAGUGGGGAAUAUUGCACAAUGGGCGAAAGCCUGAUGCAGCGACGCCGCGUGAGGGAUGACGGCCUUCGGGUUGUAAACCUCUUUCAGCAGGGAAGAAGCGAAAGUGACGGUACCUGCAGAAGAAGCGCCGGCUAACUACGUGCCAGCAGCCGCGGUAAUACGUAGGGCGCAAGCGUUGUCCGGAAUUAUUGGGCGUAAAGAGCUCGUAGGCGGCUUGUCACGUCGGAUGUGAAAGCCCGGGGCUUAACCCCGGGUCUGCAUUCGAUACGGGCUAGCUAGAGUGUGGUAGGGGAGAUCGGAAUUCCUGGUGUAGCGGUGAAAUGCGCAGAUAUCAGGAGGAACACCGGUGGCGAAGGCGGAUCUCUGGGCCAUUACUGACGCUGAGGAGCGAAAGCGUGGGGAGCGAACAGGAUUAGAUACCCUGGUAGUCCACGCCGUAAACGUUGGGAACUAAGGUGUUGGCGACAUUCCACGUCGUCGGUGCCGCAGCUAACGCAUUAAGUUCCCGCCUGGGGGAGUACGGCCGCAAGGCUAAAACUCAAAAGGAAUUUGACGGGGGGCCCGCACAAGCAGCGGAGCAUGUGGGCUU
The sequence is a ribosomal RNA, 876 nucleotides long. It matches the Rfam family "Bacterial small subunit ribosomal RNA", at positions 61 to 948 of the family's 1533-position model.